CCCCUAGUAACUGCGAGUGAAGCGGGAAAAGCUCAAAUUUAAAAUCUGGCGGUCUUUGGCCGUCCGAGUUGUAGUCUGGAGAAGUGUUUUCCGCGCUGGACCGUGUAUAAGUCUCUUGGAACAGAGCGUCAUAGAGGGUGAGAAUCCCGUCUUUGACACGGACUACCAGUGCUUUGUGAUGCGCUCUCAAAGAGUCGAGUUGUUUGGGAAUGCAGCUCAAAAUGGGUGGUGAAUUCCAUCUAAAGCUAAAUAUUGGCGAGAGACCGAUAGCGAACAAGUACCGUGAGGGAAAGAUGAAAAGCACUUUGGAAAGAGAGUUAAACAGUACGUGAAAUUGCUGAAAGGGAAACGCUUGAAGUCAGUCGCGUUGUCUGGAACUCAGCCUUGCUUUCGCUUGGUGCAUUUUCCGGAUGACGGGCCAGCAUCGAUUUUGACCGUCGGAAAAGGGCUAGGGUAAUGUGGCACCUCCGGGUGUGUUAUAGACCUUAGUCGCAUACGGCGGUUGGGAUCGAGGAACGCAGCGCGCCGCAAGGCAGGGGUUCGCCCACUUUCGCGCUUAGGAUGCUGGCGUAAUGGCUUUAAACGACCCGUCUUGAAACACGGACCAAGGAGUCUAACAUACCUGCGAGUGUUUGGGUGGAAAACCCGAGCGCGUAAUGAAAGUGAAAGUUGAGACCUCUGUCGUGGAGGGCACCGACGCCCGGACCUGACGUUCUCUGACGGAUCCGCGGUAGAGCAUGUAUGUUGGGACCCGAAAGAUGGUGAACUAUGCCUGAAUAGGGUGAAGCCAGAGGAAACUCUGGUGGAGGCUCGUAGCGAUUCUGACGUGCAAAUCGAUCGUCAAAUUUGGGUAUAGGGGCGAAAGACUAAUCGA
This 874-nucleotide ribosomal RNA is filed under the name Sanguinoderma flavovirens. RNAcentral's name for it is "partial 28S ribosomal RNA". It matches the Rfam family "Eukaryotic large subunit ribosomal RNA", at positions 77 to 938 of the family's 3401-position model. The record is from RNAcentral. Lineage: Eukaryota; Fungi; Basidiomycota; Agaricomycetes; Polyporales; Polyporaceae.